CUGCCCUAUUGACAUGGAUCAAUUAUAAACACUAUAUAUAUCUAUUACAGACUGAAGUUUGAGGUACAUCUGGUUUUAACAUUAUACAUGGAGGUGGUUGAUCUCAUCUAUAAAGCACUAUGUGUAAAGUUCGUUUCAUUUUGAUUUUAUGAAAAUGUGACAUAAGGGCUAGAUGAUGAAAAGAACAGAAUUUGUUUUCCUUUCUACAUACUUUAAACUGACACUGUUUUG
This 231-nucleotide long non-coding RNA is filed under the name Mytilus galloprovincialis (Mediterranean mussel). Lineage: Eukaryota; Metazoa; Mollusca; Bivalvia; Mytilida; Mytilidae. The record is from RNAcentral.